Plutella xylostella (diamondback moth) is the source of this 773-nucleotide non-coding RNA. The record is from RefSeq and is a predicted model, not a curated record. Lineage: Eukaryota; Metazoa; Arthropoda; Insecta; Lepidoptera; Plutellidae.
GCAAACGUAUAGUCUAUGUAGUGAUAAUUGUUUACAAUAUGAAAUAUUAUAAGCGCAGAGGGUAUUUUGAAUUUAUUUCUCAUUUGAAAUUGUAGACUUGAAGAGAAUGUUUUGUUGCAUUGAGAUGGGUUUUGUUAAUUCCAUCUGAUUGAUCUGAUUUAUAUUUAUACCUAUAAUAUAAUCAAAAUUAUUGAUUUGUAACGAUGACAAACGAAUUUAUUAACAAGGUCAUCAUUAUUAAUUGAGUUAAGUGCCAGGACAACAUUGGGUUACCGAAGAUGGAUGUCCUAUAAUGGGCCCUGAAGAACUGUUAUGAAAUAGCUAACGCAUGACAAGAUUUAAUUUGAGAAUUUUAAGGAUGAUAUUAUGGUUGCUGUUUGCAUUGCGUGAGAAAUAUCUUCUACACGAUAACAGCACAACUCGCAAAGAAGAAAUGGAACAUUAUAACUAUGUUAUUAUACGUUUAGUAGGUAUUUAACGGGUCCCCAGUUUAAAAAUGAGUAAAAUUUAUUUAGUAGUAAGAUAAUUAUUUGUUCAUACUGUUAAGAUAAUUGAUUACAUAUUUAUAAGUAACUACUUAGUAAUAAAAUUGUUGCUUAUUUAUAAUUUAAUUGUAGAAAACAACAAGAGAUGUAAAUUGUGAAAUUUAGUAACAUGUUGGUUCUCAUUGUUGUAAUUCUACAAUUUUUGAAUUUGUUUACUUUUGUUCAUAAUUAUUCUGCAUACAGACUAAUAAUAUUUACUUGUUUAGUGAAAUAAAGUUCUUUUUCUUA